Molecule: ribosomal RNA, 468 nt
Filed under: uncultured bacterium
Lineage: Bacteria
Description: partial 16S ribosomal RNA
Rfam family: Bacterial small subunit ribosomal RNA
Source: RNAcentral
GACGAACGCUGGCGGCGUGCUUAACACAUGCAAGUCGAACGGAAAGGCCCUGCUUGUGUGGGGUGCUCGAGUGGCGAACGGGUGUGUAACAUGGGAGUAACCUGCCCUUGACUUGGGGAUAACUUCAGGAAACUGGGGCUAAUACCGGAUAGGAGCUCCUGCUGCAUGGGGGGGGUUGGAAAGUUUGGGCGGUUGGGGAUGGACUGGCGGCUUAUCAGUUUGUUGGUGGGGUAGUGGCUUACCAAGGCUUUGGUGGGUAGCCGGCCUGGGAGGGUGACCGGCACCAUUGGGACUGAGAUACGGCCCAGACUCCUACGGGAGGCAGCAGUGGGGAUUAUUGCACAAUGGGCGGAAGCCUGAUGCAGCACCGCCGCGUGCGGGAUGACGGCCUUCGGGUUGUAAACCGCUUUCGCCUGUGACGAAGCGUGAGUGACGGUAAUGGGUAAAGAAGCACCGGCUAACUACGUG